UCUGCCUCCACAGCCAUGAAAGAGAGAGAAGCAGUCUCACCAAAGGAGGUGGGGAAAGGCAGAGAGGCACACAAAGACUCUGUGAGGCAACAGUCACUCCCGGGGAGGACUGCCAAAGACAGAACAGCCUCGGAGGCGGACAAACUAAAGUGAGGCGCACAGCAGAUAACUACUCUGCAACAGAAAACCACCAAAAAGAAGAGAAGAGCAAAAAAUCAUAGAAGCAAAGAAGAAAAAGAUAAACAUGAAAGAAGAAGAGCAGUGAAAAGGAUUUGUUUUUUUUAAUCUAAUCUCACUGUUCCUCCACUCCACAUGCAGAGUUUCAUCACUGCCUGAGGAAUAACCCCUCUUAACCUUAAUCUCGACCUGGCUGCUUAUCUCCGUCUGCUCCUCUGGGUGACGUACGGCACAUUUCAACAACAAACUAACACUCUGACACAUAAAGCACUCAGCAGGUAACUCCUCCAGGGAGGACAUGUCAUGUUCAUCACUGUCUCCUCCUCGUCAACUGGUCUGCUUACUUCUGUUUUGUAGUUUUUGCCAGUCAGUCUGGUCUGGGCUGAGCGCGUGAAAACAACAGAGAUUCUCACGGCAGGAUGGAUGCCAGAGAGGAGACGCUGAACAUCCUGAACAGGAUAUGGGUCAAGCUGCAGGGUCUGCCCAGCGCCAGCCCUGUGGAGCUGGGCGCUUUCUUUGUCAUCUUAACCUUCAUCUUGGUGGUCGUGCUCAUGACAGUGCUGACAUGCAUCAACUGCUGUUGCUGCUGCUGCUGUCGCAAGGCCACGAAAAAGGGAUUGAACAUUUAACCAUGUGAGCUCCACACAAGGAAAACUAACAGAGACGGUGCAAAACAUCCCCGAAACACAACACAGGCUUUCUCUGCUGGUCUCUAAAGCAUAAUGAAUCCUUCUAAGAGUGAAUGAAAGCUCCUGCUGAGAGUCAUGGCCAUAUACUUCAUAGGCAUUCGAGACAUUUCAGUGACUAUUAAAGCCUUAUGCAGGGUGUGUUCAGCGGCAAUCGAGGAGCCCAACCCUUGAAAAACAAAACAACCUGACAGGAUGUCCUGACUGGCUGCCAAACACACCUGCUAUAGCUGCCACGUUUUCAGGACAAUCUACAUUCUUUGGAACAUCCCUGCGCUUUGCAGGACAACAACCACGCCUCUGACCUGAGGAGAAGGCAGAGCCGAACAAAACAACACAGGCAAAUACUUGGACUAUGAACUGCAAAAAUGUAUAGAAUCAUUAAAAUACUGCACCAAGUUGCACAAUGAGAUAAAAGAUAAUGAAAGGGAGAACCAAAUGAAUUUGUUAUUGUUUUCUACACCUAAUUAUUAUUAUAUUAUGUGUCGUUCUAUAGUUAGACAAGGUCCUCCUGAGGGAAAAGUUGUUGGCAAACCUCAGUGUUCUUUCACAGACUUCACAGCACAACAGAGAUCAAGUCUGCCCUCUGCUGUACAUAAUCUGAAAUGGACUAUGAUUUUAUUUUGAAAAGUACAGCAUGCAUGUAAUGGCAGUUAUAUUUCAUGUAUAAAACUGCAUAGAUGUAGAGUGGAGAGAUUAUGCUAUUCUUUGACUGUACACUUUUAUACUCAAUAAACAAAAUGCAUGUA
Molecule: long non-coding RNA, 1612 nt
Organism: Plectropomus leopardus (leopard coralgrouper)
Lineage: Eukaryota; Metazoa; Chordata; Actinopteri; Perciformes; Serranidae
Source: RefSeq, a predicted model, not a curated record